UACGUAGGGUGCAAGCGUUGUCCGGAUUUACUGGGCGUAAAGAGCGCGUAGGCGGCUCGUUAAGUGAGAAGUGAAAGCUGUGGGCUCAACCCACAAACCGCUUUUCAUACUGGCGAGCUGGAGUGAUGCAGAGGUGGAUAGAAUUCCCGGUGUAGCGGUGAAAUGCGUUGAUAUCGGGAGGAAUACCCGUGGCGAAGGCGGUCCACUGGGCAUCAACUGACGCUGAGGCGCGAAAGCGUGGGUAGCAAACAGG
This 253-nucleotide ribosomal RNA is filed under the name uncultured bacterium. RNAcentral describes it as "partial 16S ribosomal RNA". It matches the Rfam family "Bacterial small subunit ribosomal RNA", at positions 524 to 776 of the family's 1533-position model. The record is from RNAcentral.